RNAcentral lists this ribosomal RNA (253 nucleotides) under uncultured bacterium. Its description in RNAcentral is "partial 16S ribosomal RNA". It matches the Rfam family "Bacterial small subunit ribosomal RNA", at positions 524 to 776 of the family's 1533-position model. The record is from RNAcentral.
UACGUAGGGGGCAAGCGUUGUCCGGAUUUAUUGGGCGUAAAGAGCGUGUAGGCGGCUGGGUAGGUCCGUUGUGAAAACUCGAGGCUCAACCUCGAGACGCCGAUGGAAACCCUCCAGCUAGAGUCCGGAAGAGGAGAGUGGAAUUCCUGGUGUAGCGGUGAAAUGCGCAGAUAUCAGGAAGAACACCCGUGGCUAAGGCGGCUCACUGGACCGGAACUGACGCUGAGGCGCGAAAGCGUGGGGAGCAAACAGG